GGGGCGUCAGGGUCGCUCUCUGAUUGGCUCCCGGCCGGGGCCCCAGAAGCUGCUGUGCCGCGAGCUCAGCCACAGCAGAUGGACCUCUCGCGCUCUCCUCCUCCUUGUACCAGCUCCUGGAUGCACGCGCCCCAGUGAUUGUUUCCAACAGCAGGAGAGCGAGCGAGUUGACCGAGGAGUUUACCGUUAACCGUUAGUUCAGCCGCCGUAACGGGAAGAAGAGGGAAGAAGGGAGGAGGAGGUGUAAGAGGAGAACCGGAGAGCCUGCGUCCCCGGGUUUGGUGAGCCGAAAUAGCAUCUCCUAAAGUCGGCAGGAAUCAGACAGAAGCGUCGAUGUAGCUAACUCCCUCUUUCUGGUGACUCAACAACAUCACACAGUCUUCACUACGCUCCUCUCAUGCUUACUGAGAAUGGAUGAUACAGAGUACGGGGUUCAGAUUGGAGAGAACAAGUUCAUCAGCAAGGUAACAGUCCUCUCACAUCUUAAGACAUACAACCUCUACUAUGAAGGACAGAAUCUACAGCUCAGACACAGAGAAGAAGAGGGGGAACUGAUUGUCGAGGGCCUGCUGAAUAUCUUCUGGGGCCUGCGGCGACCAAUCAGGCUUCAGAUGCAGGAUGACCACGAGCGAAUCCGACCGCCCCCCUCCUCUACGUCCUGGCACUCAGGUUGCAAUCUGGACAGUCAAGGUUCCCCCAACAGCACAGAUGGUCAACAGCAGAGCCCACCCACAGUGGAAGUGACGCCACCUGACAACCAACUGGAGGACAACGGUGUGAUGGAAGAACAGACAGAAGAGGACAGUGAGAGCUCCGCACAGCUCCUCAGAACGAAGAGUGAUGCCGGCGUCUUAAGACGGGGCCAGCGACGGUCACCGAGCGACCAGAGGAAAAUUCGACGCCAUCGCUUCUCCAUCAACGGACACUUCUACAACCACAAGACAGCAGUGUUUACUCCUUCUUACGGCUCAGUGACUAAUGUUCGGAUCAACAGCUGCAUGAGCACACCUCAGGUGCUACGAGUUCUCCUCAACAAAUUUAAAAUCGAAAACAGCCCAGAUGAUUUUGCGCUCUACCUCGUCCAUACAAGUGGAGAGCGUGUGAAACUGAAGCGAAGUGACUAUCCUCUGGUGCUGAGAGUAAUGCAGGGUCCAUGUGAGCAGGUCUGCAAGAUUUUCCUCAUGGAAGAAGACCUGGGAGAAGAAGUCACAUAUGAUGUGGCGCAGUACAUCAAGUUUGAAAUGCCUGUCCUGCAGAGUUUCAUCACCAAACUGAAGGAGGAGGAGGACAGAGAGGUGCAAAAACUCAGGAGGAGGUACACAUACCUGCGGUGUAUAAUUGAGAAGCAGCUCAGUUGUCUUCCAGAGGGGGCGACGUGUAUGUGAGCCGCUCAUCAAACUGUCAGAACCUCUCCCAGAGUACCACAUCCUCCUCCCAGCUGUGACCAAGAGAGUGACACAGAAUCAGCUGACAAGAACCCAAUGUAUGUGUUUCAGCGAUAAGCCUGCUCCUCUGAAUUCCUGCCUCUGCAUGGGGUCUUUUCCAAAUCAUCCAAUCAACAUACAGACAAAACUUUAACAUGCUGUACUGUGUGCAUGUUAAGUGUGACCAUCUCAGCAAUAGUCUUCAGAGUCAUGACGACUCACACAGCCUUGUAAAGAGUCUUGAUUCAGACCCAAUCACUUUAUCUCUCUCUCUCUCUGCUUUUCUCUUUGUCAUCACAUACAGUACACACAGAAAGACAUUCCUCUAUAAUUUUAACCUUUUUUGCAGAAUGAGCAUAAAAUGACACGUCCUGUUCUGUCUCUACCCUCCAGAUUGCAAGCUGAUACCCAAAAUCAAUUUAAAGCACAAACAUCAUAUGUUAUGGUAUUAGUGAAGUGCCUGUUAAAAGGUUUCUCCAAGCACAAACAAACAUAGGCACACAUUUAACUGUAAAGUACAAAGAAGCACAUCAGCCCACACAGUUUGGGUGAAUGUGAAACCGAGCAGACCACGAGCAAACGGUCGUAGCCUCAGAAGCUGGCACCAUCGAGUCCCACAUUGCACUGUGUGCCUUUAUGUUCCUCACUGUUUGAGAAUGUGUUAAAUAUUGUAACUGAAGGAAUUUAAUUGACCCUCUCCAUUUCAUCGCAGCUGAGAAGUUCACUGCAGGGAUUAUUGAAGGCCGUGUGAACAGAUAAUCUGUUUAUGUUGUGAUCGUCAGCCUGAUGGUAACAACUGUCUCCAGUUUUUCUGUAGGCAUUCAAACCGAAUGUUAAAGACAUUUUAUGAUUGAAGAUAAAGGAAACACCUAUUCACUUUCUUGCAGAGAGUUAGAUGUUUGUUGUAUGUUUGCCAGUAGCUGGUUAGCUUAGCAUAGCACAAAGACUGUAAACACAGGGAGAAACAGCAAGCCUGGCUGUGUCCGAAGGUAACAAAAUCCACUCACCAGCACCUCUAAAGCUCACUAAUUAACGUGUUGUAUGUCAUUUGUUUUAAUCUGUACAACAAACAAAGAGUAAAAAUGACACAUUGUGGUUUUACAGGGGUUUAUGUGCCGGACUAUUUCUUGGUCAGGACACAUAACCCCCUGUAAAACAGCGAUUUGUCGUUUUUUACACUUUCAUUUUUGUACGGAUUAAACAAACAGGAAGUAACGUGUUAAUUAGUGAGCAGAUUUUAUUACCUUCAAACAGAGCCAGGCUAGCUGUUUCCCCCUGUUUCUAGUCUUUGUGCUAAGCUAAGCUAACCUGGUACUUGCUGUAGCUUCAUAUUUACCACACAGUUUUCUCAUCAAACUCUCUGCAAAAAAAAACAAAUAAGCUGAUUUCCCAAAAUAUCAAACUAUUCAAAAAAAAAAUCCAUCCUGAAACAAUUGAACACUUUUUGGGCCCCUUUUGUUUUCUGGUGUAUUGUCCUUACUUGCAUUAAUGCCUUAUGUAAGACGGCAAGAAGAUGUCAUGUUGAGAUUUUAAAAAGCACAGUAAAAUACUGUUUGAUAGAAGAACAACAUCAUUCUUCACUCCUGGUAGUCAUUGGACGUUGGACUGGCUGUACAAAAAUGAUUUUACAUCCAACAGCGAAUGACACAAGAAGAGUGAACACAAGACUGUGAAUUACGCUGAUGACCUUUGAUAGAAGAAUGUUGUAGAUGUAUGAAUGAGCAUUUCAAAGCAGUACAAUCUGCCUCCAUAUGUACAGCGCUUUGCAUACGUCUGCUUUUGUCUGUUCGUUCAAUAUUUCUAACAUCGUUGUUGAAAAUGUCAUCCAGAGUGUGUGCGUGUGAUUUUGAGAGUGUGCAUGUUGUAUUUUUAGUGACUCUUAAGACUUGCCUGCUUUUGUAUUGUGUCUUUUACAAAAUAAUGAAGGAACUUUAGUCUUUAAGAUGUUAACAACUCAUGCCACUAUUUGGAAAUGUAGGGGUUUUUUUUCGUACAAUGAUUGCUAUUUAAUAAAAAAAAGUUAUCUUGAGAAAAGAUGAACAUGAUAUGUAUAUCUGUAAUCUCCUUCAGGUCAGUGGGUGAAAAGCCAACUGUAGCAUGUUAUAUAAUGAUGUUUAAAUCUUGUGUAAUUUAAAAUGACAGACGAGAUAUAACAUUAGUCAUAGUCGAAGCUUCGGGAGAGCUCGUUAAGUGUUCUGGUUUGUUCACUCAGUGGGUUAAAUAAUUCAGACAAAAUUAGAAACACGAAUGUAUGCACACACACACACACACACACACACACACAGGUAUUUAUGUCUGAUGUCGCUGGUACAGCAGCUUACUGUACUCAGCCAAUGAGCAGGUGUGAGACAGAGUGAUCCACUCCACCGGAUUGAGAUUGUCUGGAGGAUAACGGGCUGGCCCUGAAACGUACUUCUUACUGUCAGGAGAGUCUGAGCUGCAAACACAACGCUCUCUGGUUUUUACCGUCAGAGGAGGAACUUCAUCUGAACCGCCGCGCUGCGAACAGCAACUCAGCAGGAUAAAAAAAAAUAAUGUCUGGCCCGCAGAAACUCUCCCUCACAGUUGCCCUCUGCCUGCUGCUCCUCGCCACACUGUUGCCCAGCUCUGAGGCCCGGCGUGGUCGUGGAGGUGGUGGCUUUGGCCGAGGUGGAGGAGGCUUCGGCCGGGGCUGGGGCGGUGGUGGCAGCCAGGCCUACAGACCCAUCCAGAGCAGUGGCCCCAGUGCAGGGAAAGUAGCCGGGGCUGCCGCAGCGGGCGCCAUAGGAGGAGCGAUGCUCGGGUCUGCUCUGAGCCGCCCUGGGUACGGGUAUGGUGGAGGAUAUGGAGGAUAUGGAGGAUAUGGGGAUAUGGGGAUAUGGAGGAGGUUAUGGCUACCCACCAUACAGAAUUGGUAGUGGCUACGGCCCCAGGCCUGGCUAUGAACCAGAGGGCUCUGGAGAUAUGGAGUACUACACUGGAGCAUCCAGCGGCCCCAUCUACAACAGCAUCAUCGUGGUCAUCGGCUCCCUGACGUCCCUGCUGAUGGGCCACUGGGUGGCAGUCAUGUAGAGUUGGAGACAGAGCUGGGAUCCCAAAAACAGACACAGGUCCAAACCCUGACUAAAAAUAACCCAUAACCUGACACAAAACGGAACUAUUUUUGGUUUAAAGUCAAAUGUGACCUAAAAUAUGGCUCUUGAAUAAUGAAAAGCUGUGGCCAAUUUGUUUCCCCGACACUUCAGUGACCCUCCAUGUGGACGAGAAGAGGAAUUUUGACCCAUCUAACCUCUACAACAUGUCAGUGUGACACCACGUUUCAGUCUGUAGGUGUACUGAUGAAAAGAGAAAACCACUUCCUGUAGAUAUUUGUCGUGAGAUAAUUUGACUCCCAUUUCUCUUAAUGUGGCCAGACUUUUUAUACUUUUGAUGGUUGUGGUGGUGAUGACGAUAUUUAUGAUGAUUUAAUAUGUUUUCUGACAAACACAUUCUCCAUAGUCUGUGAAGAUAGACCAGGAAUAAAUUAGAUGUGUAAUCAUGUUAAGUCUACCUCAAGAAGUCAUAUACAGAGUUUAAGAGCAGCUAUACACUUUGAUAAUUUGAUAAAUGCCAUUUCUCAGUAUAUUUCAUUAUAAGUUAGUCCUUUAGACUGUUUUUUCACUGUUUCACAUUCUGUCUGCUCUGCAUAUUCUUACAUUUUCAGUACACUGCUUGUAUAUGUAUACUUUACCUAAUUAAAGUACAUGUUUUAUGCCAUUUUGUAGACUUUAAUGUGAAAAAACAAAAUGUUCUAAUAAUAUUUCAAUAUUGUUAUAUAAGUAAAAAGAACUUAGAACAAA
Siniperca chuatsi (mandarin fish) is the source of this 5242-nucleotide RNA transcript. It is a transcript of the gene named Ras association domain family member 2b, with no coding region annotated. The transcript is spliced from 12 exons. NCBI's taxonomy places the organism in Eukaryota, Metazoa, Chordata, Actinopteri, Centrarchiformes, Sinipercidae. The record is from RefSeq and is a predicted model, not a curated record.